UACUCACUGCCAGUCCUCACAA
This 22-nucleotide non-coding RNA is filed under the name Mus musculus (house mouse). Lineage: Eukaryota; Metazoa; Chordata; Mammalia; Rodentia; Muridae. The record is from RNAcentral.